RNAcentral lists this long non-coding RNA (258 nucleotides) under Lotus japonicus. Its description in RNAcentral is "long non-coding RNA (LJAP_LNC001761)". The record is from RNAcentral. Lineage: Eukaryota; Viridiplantae; Streptophyta; Magnoliopsida; Fabales; Fabaceae.
ACCUCAACUCAAUUUCACACAAAUCAGAAGCACUGUGUAUAAAGAGCAACCCAAGCAACGCUUUCGCAUUCACCAUGUUCAGUAUGAACAGUGGAAAAGCUUCAGAAGUUCUGAAGUUAUACAAACUCUGAUGUGGACUCAGUCACUAGAAGCUCUGAAGAUCCAGAAAGUCUGAUAACCAAGAAACACUGAAGGCUCAGAUGUUCUGAUGGUGUAGAAGACUCUGAAGAUCCAGAAGCUGAAUAGUGGAAACUCUGA